CCUACGGGAGGCAGCAGUGGGGAAUAUUGCACAAUGGGGGAAACCCUGAUGCAGCGACGCCGCGUGAGUGAGGAAGUAUUUCGGUAUGUAAAGCUCUAUCAGCAGGGAAGAAAAUGACGGUACCUGACUAAGAAGCCCCGGCUAACUACGUGCCAGCAGCCGCGGUAAUACGUAGGGGGCAAGCGUUAUCCGGAUUUACUGGGUGUAAAGGGAGCGUAGACGGCUAAUCAAGUCAGAAGUGAAAACGCAGGGCUCAACCUUGGGACUGCUUUUGAAACUGAGUAGCUAGAGUGCAGGAGAGGUAAGCGGAAUUCUUAGUGUAGCGGUGAAAUGCGUAGAUAUUAGGAGGAACACCGGUGGCGAAGGCGGCUUACUGGACUGUAACUGACGUUGAGGCUCGAAAGCGUGGGGAGCAAACAGGAUUAGAUACCCGAGUAGUC
RNAcentral lists this ribosomal RNA (440 nucleotides) under uncultured bacterium. RNAcentral describes it as "partial 16S ribosomal RNA". It matches the Rfam family "Bacterial small subunit ribosomal RNA", at positions 338 to 795 of the family's 1533-position model. The record is from RNAcentral.